Pseudophryne corroboree (corroboree frog) is the source of this 1649-nucleotide long non-coding RNA. RefSeq lists it as uncharacterized. The record is from RefSeq and is a predicted model, not a curated record. NCBI's taxonomy places the organism in Eukaryota, Metazoa, Chordata, Amphibia, Anura, Myobatrachidae. The transcript has 3 exons.
CAUGACCACGCACUGCUAGUAGUCGGAUCCUCAAGGAGCAGCCGGUUUUAUUCUGAAGUCAUGGAAACCCCUACAGGUGGGGGCAGUAAUCCGGCUGUGUGAUCCGGGAGGUCGCUGGCUGUACCCGGGCAAGUCUAUAACGCUGACUCUUAGGAACCAGAGUCCGCUAUUACCACCUUCCCUGGCAGGGAAUUCCACAUCCUGAUUGCCCUAACAGUGAAGAUCCCUUUCCUCCGUUGCGUUCGGAACUUUCUCUCCUCCAGCCGCAGAGCAGAUCUGAAUCCCCACAAGCUUUAACCAGGAGAUUGGGUGUAUCUGGAAAGACACGUGAAAAAGUCACUUGAGCCCAGAUUUGAUGGUCCAUAUCGAGUGUUUCUGACCAUGCCCACUUCUGUGUCAAUUAAGGAAAGAGAAACUUGGGUUCCACUGCAAUUUUGCUCAAGUUAAGUUUGAACGAUGAAAUAUGCAAACAUGCAAAGGCUAAUUGUGCCUAAACUAGACAGACCACUAUGGGUCAUUAUAUUGGGAACUUCAGUACUUAUUAUAGUCAUAAUAUACUUUAUAGCUCUCACAGGAGAGGGCAGGGACUGGCAUGUCCGCCAAUCCAAAGUUACAUACCACACUAGAGCUUGUGUUAGUCAAGUUAAAGUAAAGAUCAUAAAAUCUCUAGAAGUUCAAAGAUACCAGUUAAUUUAGAAAUGCUGGGCUCACAUGGGCCCACAUCUGGAAAAGGAGGGGAAUGGACAUCUGUCCCCACUACAUAUAAGAGUAUAAGAGGUUUUAAUUUGUUUAGAGCAAAUACAUACUACUAAAAUAGAGUAAUAUUUUUUAGAAUAUGUAUGAAGAGAACUCCAAAAAUGUGUUGUAUAUUUAUUACUAAUGAAACAAAUAGUGCGCAAGAAGUCAUUUAGAGAAAUGUUCUGCUUAAAUCAAGCUAAUUGGUUUAGCGGGAUCAAAGAGUAGAUUGUUGAAAUAGUGAUUUUUUUUAUUAAAAAUUGUUGGCUUAGCAAAUUGCAUAUAUCUGAAUUUAAGAUGCUAUUUUGUUUCCUUUCCUUUCAGCUUGAAAGAAAUCUGUAAAGUGUAAACUCAAAGAUGCGAAUCCUCCAAGUUUAAGAAACUACAGAAGAGCUUGGCAAGAAGGAGCCGUGAGCAGUCUACCUUAAUGGAUAUGAUGUGAACGGUUCUUUACCUUCCGUGGGAUAGAGUGACCAGCACCGUCCUACGGGAACAUAGCCUUUAGCACCAUUAUAGCUAGACUGUUUGCUUAGUCUCUUGUAGGUAGAGUUUAUGUGAUGCCUUGUAGCUCAACUGUAAUGUCAUAUUGUAAUACCAGAUAAACCUGUAAUGUUUGAUUAUUAUAAAUAGGAGGGAAAAUGAUAGAGAUAAAGCUUAGCUACCAUGCUUAAUUAUAAUAAUGCAAUUCAUUUCAAUAUUAGAAAGAGAUUUGAUUAAACUAGCCUUGAACAUAUGGAAAAUAUAAAAGCGUGUUUUAUAUAACAUUGUGUGUGAAAGUGAGCAUCUGGCACCCUGCUCUCUCCUCAGAAACGGAAAAUAUCUAAAUGUAGCUCCAGAUAAGCAGAAGGACAAGGGGCAUAUGAAGUUAUAUAAUUGUGUUAAUCAUUUACUGCCAAUAUAUGUGUAUAAAUAUU